GUUUUUUUUUUUUUUAAUUUAAUUUAAUUUGUCUUUUUAGGGCCGCAGAUGAGGCAUAUGGAGGUUCCCAGACUAAGGGCCGAAUUAGAGCUAUAGCUGCUGGCCUACACCACAGCCAAAGCAAUGCAGGAUCUGAGCUGCAUCCAUGACCGACACCACAGCUCACAUCAACCCUGGAUCCUUAACCCACUGAGCGAGGCCAGGGAUCGAACUUGCAUCCUCAUGGAUACUAGUCAGGUUCCUUUCCACUGAGCCACGACAGGAACUCCAGUUUCCCUUUUUUCUACUGAAUAAAUACAUAUUCUACAAUGGAUAGAAUGAGAUUGAGAAGUCCGAGAAUUCUGUAGUGUCUAAUUUACAAAAAUGUUCAAUAGAAUUGUAAGUAGAGACAACCUGUAUGAUUGGUUUUGACUUAUAAAAAUAUGAUCCUUUUUAUGUGUGCAGUGUUCAUGUUGGGGGAGAGAGAGGAGACCUUUAUUUCUUCAAGGAAACACGAACUGGGUUAACCAUGGCUGCCUCUGGGUAGUGGGAUGGAGGAGUCUGAAAGUUCCUGCAGGGAUCGUUGGGGGAAGAGAGUGUGGAGGAGACAUUUGUCUCACAGAGACCUCCCCCCAGCUGUGGAGUGUGGCAGCGAAAAGAGAAGCAAGCGUGGAGUCUGUGAGGGUACAGAAGAUCCGGGAGAGGUCUGGACGUUUCCUGGAGCUCCAGGAAGGUGCUGGAGAACUUCCAGAAUUCCCCAUGCACACAGAGAGACAGGGAAUGAUUGCAUUCAGAAGACUUACUGACCCCUUUGUCACCAGGAGGUCCCCAAAGCCUCUUGCAAGUCUGAGAUUCCAAGGCUCUAUAGCAGGUGCCUUCAGACAGAUUGAGGGGAAACUAAAAGUUAAGUGACAGCUCAUCCUCUUCCAUGAUAGGGUGUGUCUCCCCCUGCUAUUGCUCUCCGCUGUUCAUUCCCUGCCCUAAACACACAGUGGAGCUCGAGACAGUAUAGAUUUCGUUCCCCACAUGCCCUGCAUUUAAUUCUCCUUUGCACUGUCAUCCAAUGUAUUACAACACUCUUUAGCUGGCAGUGUGGGGCCUUUGCUUCUUUCUUUCCCCACCUAGAUUCUCCUAGGAAAUCCACCAGUUC
This 1129-nucleotide long non-coding RNA is filed under the name Sus scrofa (pig). Its description in RNAcentral is "lncRNA (ENSSSCG00025039927.1)". Lineage: Eukaryota; Metazoa; Chordata; Mammalia; Artiodactyla; Suidae. The record is from RNAcentral.